AGUCGAACGGUGAAGCCAAGCUUGCUUGGUGGAUCAGUGGCGAACGGGUGAGUAACACGUGAGCAACCUGCCCUGGACUCUGGGAUAAGCGCUGGAAACGGUGUCUAAUACUGGAUAUGAGCUCCUGCCGCAUGGUGGGGGUUGGAAAGAUUUUUCGGUCUGGGAUGGGCUCGCGGCCUAUCAGCUUGUUGGUGAGGUAAUGGCUCACCAAGGCGUCGACGGGUAGCCGGCCUGAGAGGGUGACCGGCCACACUGGGACUGAGACACGGCCCAGACUCCUACGGGAGGCAGCAGUGGGGAAUAUUGCACAAUGGGCGGAAGCCUGAUGCAGCAACGCCGCGUGAGGGACGACGGCCUUCGGGUUGUAAACCUCUUUUAGCAAGGAAGAAGCGAAAGUGACGGUACUUGCAGAAAAAGCGCCGGCUAACUACGUGCCAGCAGCCGCGGUAAUACGUAGGGCGCAAGCGUUAUCCGGAAUUAUUGGGCGUAAAGAGCUCGUAGGCGGUUUGUCGCGUCUGCUGUGAAAUCCCGAGGCUCAACCUCGGGCCUGCAGUGGGUACGGGCAGACUAGAGUGCGGUAGGGGAGAUUGGAAUUCCUGGUGUAGCGGUGGAAUGCGCAGAUAUCAGGAGGAACACCGAUGGCGAAGGCAGAUCUCUGGGCCGUAACUGACGCUGAGGAGCGAAAGGGUGGGGAGCAAACAGGCUUAGAUACCCUGGUAGUCCACCCCGUAAACGUUGGGAACUAGUUGUGGGGUCCUUUCCACGGAUUCCGUGAC
This 776-nucleotide ribosomal RNA is filed under the name Microbacterium trichothecenolyticum. RNAcentral describes it as "bacterial SSU rRNA". It matches the Rfam family "Bacterial small subunit ribosomal RNA", at positions 60 to 847 of the family's 1533-position model. Lineage: Bacteria; Bacillati; Actinomycetota; Actinomycetes; Micrococcales; Microbacteriaceae. The record is from RNAcentral.